RNAcentral lists this ribosomal RNA (460 nucleotides) under uncultured bacterium. RNAcentral describes it as "partial 16S ribosomal RNA". It matches the Rfam family "Bacterial small subunit ribosomal RNA", at positions 338 to 795 of the family's 1533-position model. The record is from RNAcentral.
CCUACGGGUGGCAGCAGUGAGGCAUAUUGGUCAAUGGGCGCGAGCCUGAACCAGCCAAGUAGCGUGAAGGAUGACUGCCCUACGGGUUGUAAACUUCUUUUAUCCAUGAAUAAAGUGAGUCACGUGUGCCUUUUUGUAUGUACUUUAUUAAUAAGGAUCGGCUAACUUCGUGCCAGCAUCCGCGGUAAUACUUAGGCUCCGAGCGUUAUCCGGAUUUAUUGGGGUUAAAGGGAGCGUAGAUGGGUUGUUAAGUCAGUUUUGAAAGUUUGCGGCUCAACCAUAAAAUUGCAAUUGAUACUGGCAGUCUUGAGUACAGUUGAGGUAGGCGGAAUUCGUGGUGUAGCGGUGAAAUGCUUAGAUAUCACGAAGAACUCCGAUUGCGAAGGCAGCUUACUAAACUGCCACUGACAUUGAUGCUCGAAAGUGUGGGUAUCAAACAGGAUUAGAUACAAGAGUAGUC